This 27777-nucleotide long non-coding RNA is filed under the name Malus domestica (apple). RNAcentral describes it as "long non-coding RNA (MDOM_LNC004302)". Lineage: Eukaryota; Viridiplantae; Streptophyta; Magnoliopsida; Rosales; Rosaceae. The record is from RNAcentral.
CACCAAUCACCUUAAUUCCUGAUUUCUUUGGCCUAAUUGAAUUAAAAAUAUCUCUCAUUUUUCCUUCUGCCCAAUCACGCACAUACACACCAUCACUCUCUCUCUUCUCUCGGACCUUCUUCUUCUUUCUUCUCAUUCCGUACACCCGAGCCACCCUUACCUCACAAUCAUCAUCAAAACAUUAUGGAUCGAAUUGGAAAUCACUACCAUCGCAGUCACCUCGAUCCCACGAACUCAUUGAUACCCUUAGGUCGAGGAAUAGACGUCGGGAAUUCGAGAACUCGGGAGCUCUGGCGAGGUGUAUUUUUCUACUUUGUGAUCGUGGUCUUUUUCUAUGGUUUAAAGGCUUGAGGUGGGUCCUAAUCAACUUUAUAGGGACCCUAGAUUAGUUUUGGAGCAGUUUGAACGUUGGAAUAGGUGAGAACAUGGAGUUGCAGGUUGGCCGGUUGAUCCAAGCCUUACUCCGACCACUUUCUGUCGGUUUUAGAACCUCAAGUAGGUAAGAUUGUAUUCUUCUAGUUGAGAGUUUCAAAUCCAUAUAAAAUUCAUGGAAUUUGGUUGAAAAAUGAUGAAGAUAUUAAAGUUUUAAGAUUUUUCCAAAAAUCAGCGACACAAACGGCGCCCGACGGCCAGCGAUGGAUUCCGACAAAGCCAUCGGAGAAGGAGGAGAAUAUUAUGUCUAACUUUGACAGAAUAUACUAACAGCGUCAGGUAACUCUAUUAGUUUUUAAACAAAAUAUUCUACUAUUUAAUGAAAUAUUCCCUAACGCCGUUAGGGAUUCCGUGCCUGCACGUGCCGGCUUAUGAGGGCGCGUGAGACGUCAGGAAAUUAAUCUAAAAAUAUUGGGGUGUUCGAGUUGUUGAGUAGGUCAUGUUGGUAUAUUCAAACACCCUAUUUGAGCAACGUAUGAGAAGUUAUUCCUAGGGUUUGUGUAUGUGCCUUAAAAUUAAUGUAAAAUUAGUUAUUUCGCAUAUAGGUGAGACUUACCCGGAGGACAAACGUGGUCAAACGAGACUUGGGGGCUACGAUCCUACUACUUACCAGUGAGCGGGCUUUUUUUUUCUAUAUAUAUGUAAAUAUGCUUAUGAAUCCCAUAAACUACUUUAAAUGAACGUAUGUUUUAAAUGCCAUGUCGUGUGCAUUAUGUGUUAGUAUUGCAUUAGUAUAGCUAUGCAUAGUAUUGGAUGAGACUGCGCAGACUCAGGUAAGUUUCAGGUGAGUACAUCAUGAUGGUAUUGGGUGCGUGUGUGUGGUUAUACGUUGAUGCAUUUUGAGCUUAUUAUCCUGCACAUUGGUGUUAGUGUUCUCGCCCAUGGCCAGGGCAUAGUUUUUCACAUGAUGUUCACCUCCUGGGCCGCACGCUCACUUUGGAUCCAAGUUUGGUGCACAGCCAUAUUGCACAGACCACAAUAGGUGGUUCCGACUCGUAGGUGACCUGCAAUUAUUUGCACAGCCUUCACGUGAUCGUAGCACUUAAGCGUACUUAUCUACACCCAGCCCUGUUGUACAGACCACAAUAGGUGGUUCCGACUUAUGUGCAUGCAUACUUGAUGAGCUAUAGAUUCAAUUGUACAGGUUACAUUAGGUGACUCCGGUUGGCAUACUAUUUUAGGUUGAUUCGUAUCACCUGGCUUACACAUUUUAUGGUUGAACAUCUUGACAUGGCAUACCUCUGUUUUCACUGCUCUAAGCAUUAUCCUUAUGUACCUAGUUGUUAUUAUUUUCUGGAAAAUUAUAUGGGUUUACAGUGAGGGGUUAGUAUGUUCAUAAAGACAACUGUGUUUUCAAAAACUUUGUUUUUGCCUACUCACAUUUUUUGUUUUGCACCCUUUCAGGUUCUAGGUAGUUGGUCAUCCUUGGUGGCUCACGAGGACUUUCACGGCGGUUCUGACAUCUCUGUAAAUAAGUAGGGAUUUUUUUCCCUGUUUGUAUAAUUAGUACUUAGUUGGUUCGAUUGCACUUUCGUUUACCCAUGCUCUGAUAUUUGUAUAACUUGCUUGGUCAUCUUUACUCACUUAUAUUAUCUUAGUUUAGAUAAGUUUGGUUUUAGGUUUUUAUUUAUUCGCAUUUCUUUUAUUAUUACUUCUGUUGCGCAUUUUGGCUACGUUACUCUUACGUGACGGGCAUCAUGUUUCGACUUCGGUUGGGGUGUGUCAUAAAAGCCUCUUCAAGUCUUCAUGAUUUGGCUUGCAGAGAUAUGUGGCUCCAUAUGUGGCCUGAAUUGCCCCACAGAAGCGCUCCAGGUUUUUAAUAGCAGUAGUCUCCGCAAGUCGGCAAUACUCAUCAGUUGAGUUUGCAGAGCACUCAUUAGCUAGCAUCCGAAAUGCAGAUGUGAGCUUCUGAUGAGGUGAUAGACUUUGUCGGCCUACGACAUUUAUCUUCCUUGCAAAGUAGUGGUCAUGAUUGACAACUGUGUUCAAGAUGCUUUCAAAAAUCUCUCUCCUCAUUCGAAACCGUCUCCGAAAAUCAUGAGCAGGAAAUCUCGGACGCUCAAUAAAAUAAUAUUUCAUCAUUCGGUCAUGACACUCUUCUCUAUCACGUUGCACAAAUGAACGCUUCGUGACAUAACCACAAUAGCUAGAUUCGACAUGGUGCUCAUAUUGCAUAAGCGAGUUUGGAAGUUUAGCUUAUGCGUUGAUCAUUUUUGAAUCCUCAAUGUCAAGGCUUGCUUGGUAUUAUGUCAUUUGCAUUGCCCUGCUACACCUUCUUCUAUCAUCCAUUGUUGAUAUAUUGAGGAUUUUUAUGAAACAAAAACACUUUGAAAGUUGAAAGAUUAGUGAAUAUAGGGAAUGAUUGAAGGUUGAAAGAUUGUGUGACCAACUGAUAUUGAACAUGUGUUUAUAUAGAGGAUGAUUGAUGAAAGUUGAAAGUUUGGUGAAAGUUGAACGGUUGGUGAAAGUUGAAGAUUUGUGAAAGUUAAAGACUUGCUUUGUGGAAAGAUUUAGUGAUUUUUUCAAUAUUUAUUGGAAUUUAAAUAUUUUUAUAUUAAAAUGUUCAUAAAAUUAAUUUACCAUAGGCUACAUAAUUUUUUUUAAAAGUUAAUUUAAGAAAAAAAAUUAGCCUAAGUUCAUUCUUUAAUAAUCCCGAACUAAAAUUUUAGGCUAGGGUUGGAGCAGAAAAACUGUUUCUGUGUUAAAAGCUAAAUUUUUUAGAUUAAAAAUUUUAAAUUUUAACCCAAAGGUUGGAGAUGAUUUAAGAAUGGAUAAACUUAACCAAGAAAAGAAGAAAAAAGAUGAAGGGCAAAUAAGUGAGAAGCAACAUGACACGACACACGGACGACCAUAGCAAUAAAGCGUGCGUCCUCACGUCCAUUGAAUAUAUAGAUGGGAGCUACAACAUCGUGUUUCACGUGCAUGUGUAUUAUACAUAAAGGCAUAUACAGUGUUAGCUUAUAUAUUAUAAAGUUUGUAGGCCACUUACCCAAUUUGGCAUAUGUUUUAUCUUUUUACGUGAAUAACCAAUGUGUUAUGAUGAUACAAGUCUCUUAACAUAUCCGGAGUUAGAAAUAUCAUAAGACAGUGUUGCGAUCAUAUUGAAAUUAAUUGACAGUUUGUAUUAUAUAUUUGAUUAUUCUUUAUUAACUUAAGGAGACAGCAUACUUAGACCUAAUUUAGUCACAUUCUCCAACCGAAAAUAAAGCGGUGUAGUAUUCAUACACUUUUUUUUAUUUCUUACACAGUCUUAAUUAAUUUCUAUUGUUUGAUCUUCUUCAAUUCAUUCGAUCUGACGACCGAAAAUUAAGAUGGUGUGUGGACGAGUAAAUUAUAACAAUGGUCCCUCAACUUUAAUCAAAUUGGAGCAAGGGUGCUCAACUAAAAAUCCAUUACCAUUGGUUCCUCAACUCAUCAAAAUGUGUAGCUAUGGUCAUUUUCGUCAACUUCGUUACAAUUUUGUCAAAAUAAGUUAUAUUGGAAUGACUAUUGCUACAAUUGGGGUCCCUCAACUCAUCAAAACGUGUAGCUAUGGUCAUUUUCAUCAAUUUCGUUAGAAUUUUAUCAAAAUGAGUUUUGUUGGAAUGACCAUUGCUACAAUUGAAUUAAAGUUGAGGGACUAUUAUUUCAAUUGAGUUAAAGUUGAAAGAUCAUUUCUUCAGUUGUAUUAAAGUUGAAGGAUCAAUGGUAAUGAAUUUUUAGUUGAGGGGACUAUAGCUGCACGUUUUAAUGAGUUGAGAGAACAAUAAUAAUGAAUUUUUAGUUGAAAAACUAUUACUUCAAUUGAGUUAAAAUUAAGAAACAAUUGCUACAAUUUUUUUAUAUGGAAAGUGGAUGAUGUGAAUAGCACAUCCAAAAAUAAAAGGGAACUUUAACGAAAAGCACCCGGUACUGUUCACUUUAACGAAAAACCACAUUUUUACACUAAAAAGUCAAUCCUGGUACUAUUCACUUUACCCUUUAUUUUGUCCUUAUCAUUAAAACUCAAAGUUUUCAAGCCCUUUUCAUUAGUUUUCCUAAAAUAAAAUGCACCACAAUUUGGUAGGAUCUUCCUGUUGAGAGUAAUAAAUUAAUAAUUGCCGAAAUAUUGGAUAAUUUGUCGGCCACAACGCUAUGAGGGAGUAUCUGGGGAUGAAUAUACUCUUGCCGACAGAUGCCCAAAUUCCAACUGCCAUUCAAAUGAGCCCUCCACCACCACCGGCCAUAAUAAAUUCUCUUUCUUUAGUGAAGAAGAAAAAGAGGUACUUGGCCCUCACCUCAACUUUUUGAGAAAGAACAAGUUUAUCGCUAUCAGAAUGUUUCGGUCAAUUAUAUAAGUUAUGUGUAAAUUUUUCUUUAGAUAACAUUACAUUAUUAUAUUUAAAAUGUUCCGUAACGAUAAAUUUGUUUCAUACAAAUUAUUCUCCAACUUCUUGGAUUUUUCUCCUUUUUCCCGAAAACCAGCUUAUAUUAGUGUUCAUCCUCUGUCAAUAUCACUCGCCCACAACUAUUCAACUAACUUUUAAUAAUUUGACAACGUGUCAUAUUUUUGUGCAAAGCGGGCCCAUUUUUGUGGGUGAUAUAAUAAUGGCGUAUGUGGUUUGUCAAGACAUAUACUCAUUUAUCCAUUAGCAGUUAGGUAAGUCACCUCACUCACCCACAGCCUAACACAUCAACAAAUAUUGCUUACAAAUUCUAGAAAAUUCGACCAAGAAAAAAAACCAAAUGCUCGCAAAUUAAAAUUGUGUAACAUGAUUAGUUUUUUAUCCAUUAGUAUUAAUUUUACGUUGGAAGAAAUUCCAAAUUUAUUCUUGUAAAGAGGGAUAUGAAAAUACUUUGUAUGUCUAUCACCAAAAUCUUCGAAUGUUUGAAUGGUUGAUUUUCAAGUCUCACACAAUUGGAUUUAGUUCAAGUGAGAAAGAAAUACACUCAAACUAUUAGAUAUGAGGAAUGAAAAUACACUACAAAAUCUUGUGAACAUUUCUAAUAUUCUCUUCUAUCUACUUUUUGUGAACCAAGUUUUUAUUUGUUUUUUUUUUUAACAAAAGAUAUUUUUUAUACUAGGGAAAUAAGGUGGGUUUAGCCUCAUAAUGGGCUAACAUAAUCUAGUUCAAACUUGCAUUUGGUGAGAAUCGAACCUAAAAUCUCUCACUUACAAGUGAAGAGGAAUACCAUUAGAAGUGUCAUGAAAUUAGCAGUCUUAUAUGUAAAAAAUUGAUUGACUAAAUGCUGUGUUAAAAAACAAGAUUAAUACUUGCAUCUCCCCACUUGGAAAAUGCAAAUAUUUCAUUUCUUGCAAAUAACGUAUAUCAUGCGUUCUGUUCAAUCGCAUAUUCAAAAAUGUUAAAAACAAGAUUAAUAUUUCUAUCUCCCCACUUGGAAAAUGCAGUAUUUCAUUUUUUACGAAUAACGUAUAUCCUGUGUUCCGUCCAAUCGCGUAUUAAAAAAAUGUGUGAAGUUUGGAUUAACUACACUCUUUGAGAAUUUCCUUAAAUAACCACUUUUUGAAAAUUUCUUAUAGGACUAAGUGAGUCUCCGCUGAGAAUUUCCUUAACUAACACAACACUACUUGAGUGAUAAUUUGUUAUAUCUUGAAUAGAGAAUAAAUCAGUUCCCUACUUUUGAAGGUACUAUUAACUUACACUAUAUUUGAAUGAGAACAAUAAACUUAGAAUUUAGAUGAAGGAAAUAAAACAGUUUCCUACUUUUGAAGGUACUACUCGAGUGAUAAUUUGUUAUAUCUUGAUAACGUGUCAUAUUUUUUUGCUAAGCGGACCCAUUUUUGUGGGGUGGUAUAAUAAUGGCGUUUGUUGUUUGUCAAGGGCAUAUACCCAUUUAUCCAUUAGCAGUUAGGUCACCUCACUCACCCACAACCUAGUACAUCAACAAAUAUUGCUUACAAAUUCUAGAAAAUUCAACCAAGAGAAAGAAAACCAAAUGCUCGCAAAUUAAUCUGUGUAACAUUAGUUUUUAUCCAUUAGUAUUUAUUUUACAUUGGAAGAAAUUCCAAAUUUAAUCUCGUAAAGAGGGAUAUGAAAAUACUUUGUAUAUCUAUUAUCAAAAUCUUUGAAUGUUUGAAUGAUUGAUCAUCAAGUCUCACACGAUUGAAUUUAGUUCAAGUGAGGAAGAAAUACACACAAACUAUUAUAUAUGAGGAUUGAAAAAUACACUACAAAAUCUUGUGAUAACAUUUCUAAUAUUCCUUUCUAUCUACAUUUUGUGAUAAGUUUUUUUUUUCCUUUUUUGAACAAACUAUAUUUAUCUACAUUAAGGGAGAGGAGGUGAUCUUAGCCUCACAAUGGGCUAGCAUAAUGUGGUUCAAAUUCGCCUUUGGCGAUAAUCGAACCUAAAACUUAUCAUUUACAAGUAAAUAGGAAUACCACUAGAUGGAUCAUGAAAUUAGCAGUCUUAUAGGUAAAAAAAAAUUGAUCGACUAAAUGAUGUGUUAAAAAACAAGAUUAAUACUUGCAUCUCUCCACUUGAAAAAUGUAGAUAUUUCUGUGAACACGGAAAAUUCCUGAAACGAAAGAGACAAGAACAACGUGCACAAAAUAAUAUUUUGGUGUUAAUGGAUUUGUUGGGUUACGAUCUCUUUUAACUUGAUCCUCUGAUUCGAUCUCCGUAAGGUGUUGAUUUAUGGAUGUUUCGUUGAUCCAAGGGCUGUUGAGGCUUGAUCUUAGAUGAACUGUUGGAAGUUUCUUCAAGGGGCCGUGGGCUUGAUCUUUGAAGGUGGAUUUGAGCGGAUCUUCAAGGAGCCGUUGGGGCUUGAUCUUGAGGAUGAGUGUUUCUUCAAGGGCCGUUAAGGCUUGAUCUUGAAUAACGGUGAUGAACGGAUCUUCAAGGGCUUUUGGGCUUGAUCUUGAAGAACGGUUGGAUGUGUGGAUUUGUUGAUGUUGUUGAUCCAAGGGCCGUCGGAGCUUGAUCUUGGAAGAACGAUGAACGAAGAACGAAGAACACUUUCUUCAAAGGCCGUCGGGGCUUGAUCUUGAAUUGGUGAUUGUUGAUCCAAGGGCCGUCGGGGCUUGAUCUUGGAAGAACGAUGAACGAAGAACGAAGAACACUUUCUUCAAGGGCUGUCGGGGCUUGAUCUUGAAUUGGUGAUUGUUAAUCCAAGGGCCGUCGGGGCUUGAUCUUGAUUCUUCGGGAUGAACGGAUGAUGAACAAUGAACACUUUCUUCAAGGGCCGUCGGGGCUUGAUCUUGAAUUGGUGGAAGUUCUUCAAGGGCCUUUGGGGCUUGAUCUUGAAGGUGGAUGAUUGUUGAUCCAAGGGCCGUCGGGGCUUGAUCUUGGGAUGAACAGUUGUGUGGAUUUGUUGAACACUUUCUUCAAGGGCCGUCGAUGCUUGAUCUUGAAUUGGUGGAAGUUCUUCAAGGGCCGUUGGGGCUUGAUCUUGAAGGAGGAUUUGACGAAGAACGAAGAGGGCUUUCUUGAUCCUUCGGGAUUUGCUUGAAUUUGGGAGGUUGGAUGCUUGAAAGCUUUAGAGUUUCAAAGCUUCAAGGAUUUUGGAUGUGUGGGGAGUAUUCUCUUCCAUUUUGGGAGUAGAGAAAUGUAUUUGUGAAUUGGUUUUUGAUACCUUGAUGUAGAAGCCUAUUUAUAGGCUUUGAGAAUGAAUCACCACCACAAAAUAUUUUUUUUCUUUUCCAAGCACCAUUGCCUAAUUUCCCACUUAAUACAAUUUUAAACUUGAAGUGGUAAUUUUAUGGCCUAAUUUUCCACUUAAUAUCAUUUUAAACUUGAUAUGUGCAUGCUUUGUCAUUGCCCAAAAUGAGAAGAAAACCUUGUUUUGAUCUUCAAUGAAUUGAAAUGUGCUUGCCUUGUCAUUGCCCAAAAUGAGAAGAAAAACUUGUGUAAUCCUUCAAGGGUAUUUCUUUUUAUUUUGUUGAGUCGCACACCAUGUGUACAAUUUGUAUGACACGUGGCAUAUGCCAUGUACGCCUUGACACGUCAAAAUUUUAAUGCGUUGGUGAACAUUUAUUUCACCGCAAUUUCGGUGUCUACAAAUGCCCCCACUUCAAGGUGCGUCGUAUACAUGUGCUUGUCACGUGUAGGAGAUGCGUUUUGAAGUCCCUUACUGUAGAUGUCAAUCCAAUGGCCAUCGAGGCUUGAUCUUGAAUUGGGCUGGAGAUUUCUUCAAGGGCCGUUGAGGCUUGUUCUUGGACUUUGUUUGAAAUUUCUUCAAGGGCCAUCGAGGCUUGAUCUUGAAGGUUGAAAUUGGACCACAAGGAGCUUCAUGUGGUAGAUGAUCUUUGGCUUUGGUAGUGGAUGAAUCGGCACGUAUUUGUUUUUGCGCUUUGUUGACUUUCCACAGCUUUGAUCUUGAACUGGGUUGGAGGAUUUUUUGGAUUCCUCCAAUUGUUGAUUUUCCACAGUUUAUUCUUGAACUGGAUUUGAUUCAAAUAUGGUGGACGCUUGAUCUUGAAUCGGACUUGUGAUUUCCUCAAGGGCCGUCGAGGCUUGAUCUUGAAUUUGGCCGGAAACUUCUUCAAGGGCCGUUGAGGCUUGAUUCUUGAAGGUUGACUCGAACACAUGGCAAGCAGGCACGAGGUGAAGGUGACGACUUGUUGCUUUGUUCAAUCUUUCUAAUUCACACCUGAGCAGUUUGGUCAACGGUAUGAUCUUCAAGAUUGAUGGGCUCUUCUUCCAGUUGGUGAUUUGAUCUUUAAGGAUUUGAUUCAAGGGUGGUGAAACGGCACAUGCAGCCCACAACGCCUAGCAAGUCGACCCAAGAAUUUGAGGGUUAAAACGAGUCCUCCACCCAGAGUGAUUGCAAACCUGAUGAUAUGAGAUACUUUUGAUUUUGAAGAAGUAGCGGAUGAAUCGGCACGUGCUUUGUUGUGCUUGUCUCCACAUGCUUCAAUGUAUCAUUUUCCCUUGUCUUAUCUAUUCUUCUAGCAGAAUGUAGCAUCUUCUUAAGUUCUUCAACUCAGACUCCUUCUGCUGAGCUGACUGUGCAGGCUGCAUUAUUCUCUGCUUGUUUCUUUAGGCAGAUGUGGCAGCUUCUUGAGUUCCUCAGCUCGGACUCCUUCUGCUGAGCUGAUUGUGAAGACUGCAUUCUUAUCUGCUUGUUUCUUCUGUACGUUGUCUCCACAUGCUGCAAGGUAUCAUUUUCAAUUGCCUUAUUUGUUUUCCAGGCAAAUGUGGCAUCCGAGUUUGAGUGGAGGUUCUGGCAUAUUGUUUUCUUUAUCCUUGUCUUUGUAGGUAAGAACAAGGACAAAGGAAAGGACAGGGAGAACGCAUGAUAUGAUAUACUCUUGCUUUCUACCCUGGUGAUAUGAGAUACUUUUGCUUUGGUGUCAUUUGUUUGCAGAGGUACCCCAAGGAAUAAGAAACACUGAGUGACUCGAGAGGCUUUGUUGGGAAGGCAUUCUAGGAGAUGAAGAAAGGUUCUUGGAGAUGAAGAAAGGUUCUCGGAGAUGAAGAAAGGUUAUGUAUGUCUGCCUUGCUAUGGAGGGUAAAGGUGGACAGUUAUAGGAAAUUCUUUAGUACCUGUAGAGGUACUAUUCUUUUACUCGUGUCGGCAACCAAUGUGUGAUUGAUCAGUAUGGCUUCACGUGUUUUCUUCUUUAUCAGAAAUCUUCGACAAAUUGUCCGUAAUUUUCGUCAAGCUGAGUGUGCAUGUGACAGGUGUUGACGAGGCUGAAAAAGACUGGUGCCUCUUCGAUAUCUGGGAUCGGCGCUUCGACAAAUUGCCCGUGAUUUCCGCAAAGCUGAGUUUGCGCGUGACGGGUGCUGACGAGGCUGAAAAAGACUGGCGCCUCUUCGAUAUCUGGGAUUGGCGCUUUAACAAAUUGCCCAUGAUUUCUGCAAAGCUGAGUUUGCACGUGACGGGUGCUAACGCGUCUGGAAAAGCAAGAUGCUUCUCCGAUUUCUGAGCUUGCCUCUUUGAUUUUUGAAUUGGCCUCUUCGAAUUCUGAGCUCGCCUCUUCGAUCUUUGAAAUCCCAUCGAGUGUUGAUCUUUAUAGAGGCACGCAGUUCGUUUCAAAGCACACUUGAAUUUUCGCUUGUAGAAACUCCCUUCUUGCACUUCUAAGAUCUUGAUUUGUCCGACCUCUUCUUUCUUCAACACCUUUGAAAAUGUCUGGACCCUCCGACCGUCAUUUUGAUUUGAACCUUGGUGAAGAGGUAGUCCCGUCUUCUCCAGAUAACAUAUGACGCCCAUCUUUCAUAUCCCCUACUGGUCCUCUUACCGUUGGGGAUUCGGUGGUGAAGAAUGAUAUGACCGCUGCGGUGGUGGCCCGAAACCUUGUCACUCCCAGAGAUAACAGACUACUUUCCAAACGGUCUGAUGAGUUGGCUGUUAAGGAUUCUCUGGCUCUCAGUGUGCAGUGUGCAGGUUCUGUGUCUAAUAUGGCCCAACGCCUAUUUGCUCGAACCCGUCAAGUUGAAUCAUUGGCGGCUGAAGUGAUGAGUCUCAAACAGGAGAUAUUAGAGGGCUCAAGCAGAGAGAUAAACAGUUGCAUAAGCUCGCACAUAGCUAUGCGACAAACAUGAAGAGGAAGAUUAACCAGAUGCAGGAAUCUGAUGGUCAGAUUUUACUUGAUCAUCAGAGGUUUGUGGGUUUGUUCCAGCAGCAUUUGCCUUCGUCUUCUGGGGCUGUACCGCGUAAUGAAGCUCCAAAUGAUCAACCCUUGGCUCCUCUUCUUCCUGGAGUUCCGCCGAGUGGUGUGGCUUCAAACAGUCAACCUCCGACGCCUCUCAUUUCUGGAGCUCUGCUGAGUGGUGAGGUGGCACCUAAUCGUCCUUGAAGAUCCCCUCUUGUAAAUUUGAUUUGAUUUUUUUUUAAGUAUGUAUAAUGCAAAUUUAUGUAAAAUUUCCAGAAAAAAUAAAUAAAAACGGACUUUAUUUCUCUCAAUGCAUUUGUUUUGUUUUGUUUUUGUUUUUUUUGUUUUUUUGUUUUUGUUUUUUUUGUAAAUACAUAAUAACAUAUGUAUUUAUUUAUUUAUUCUUUUGUAAUAAAAUUGACUUUCUUUAAUAAAACUUUUAUAUUUUUCUUAUUUAUUUUGAUAUGACUGAACUCGAAAUUGAAUGUUCGAGCCGCCUACGUACCCUUCCAAAGAAGAGAUCAAGCCAUAACGUAGUUCAAAUGAGUGAUGAAUUUAAUAGUGAUUUUGAUGAUGAUUUUGCCGUACACAGUUUAUGCUCUUGUGGGCCAGGAGCUUUGGUGUUGCCUUUUAUGCUCGUGCAGACCAGGAGCGUUGAUGUCGCCUUUUAUGCUCGUGUGGGUCAGGAGCGUUGAUGUUGCCUUUUAUGCUCGUGCAGACCAGGAGCUUUGUGCCAUGCAGUUUAGACUCGUGCGGGCAAGGAGCUUUGGUUCGUGCAGUUUAGGCUCAUGCGAACAAGGAGCAUUGGUUCGUGCAGUUUAGGCUCGUGCGAACAAGGAGCAUUGGUGUUGCCUUUUAUGCUCGUGCAGACCAGGAGCUUUGUGCUAUGCAGUUUAGACUCGUGCGGGUGAGGAGAAUUUGUGAAUUUUGUCAAGCACUUUUGGAGAGGCGUUCCUUACAAUCUUCAUAGCAAGGAGCCUUGACCGAGUGAUUGAAGAAGUCUUCGGGAAAGAAGUCGCACAUCGUGAUGGCAACAGACGAUCUUUGUGUCGUAAUUUCAUCAUCUUCAACACGUUCACGUUGCUUUGAAGGUUGACAAGAGCUGCUUUGCCCCCUUUCCGAUUGGCGGACUUGUGGAGGAGACGUAUGCUUCUUGUGCCAUUUCUUAGGAGUGACUUGAGUCCAUCCUUCAAGUUUGCUUGUUUUGGAGGAUGCCCCCGGCGGUUGAGGUGAAAAUUUUGUGUUGAAAGAGCCAGAAGUGAUGGUGGUAUAGUUUGACUUCACCACAUCGUCAAGAUCUAGCUCGAUGAUUCCUUUCUGAGCCCACUUUAUGAUGAGAUCUUUCAGCACAAAGCACUUUUCUGUCGGAUGACUGAUGAAGCGGUGGAAUUUACAGUAUCUUGGACUGUUGGUACGAUUCAUCUCUUCCGGCCAUCUGCACUCAGGCAAACUGAUCACCUUCUUGUCCAACAGGUCAUCCAACAUGGCAACCACAUCAGAGUCAGGGAAUGGAUAAGUCUUCUCUUUAAGCUCCUUCAAAGUGCGUCUACGCAUCUCUUGAUCACGAAAAGCUUCGGUUUGAAUCGUUUUGCCUCGUGUGGAGAUUUUGACGGGAGAUGUGUUGACUGUCAUUGCUUCCUUGGUGGAUUUCCACGUAGCCUUCUCCACCUUUGUCUCAAGAAUUUUGUCGUUCUUGUAGUCGGCGAUCGGUUCCUUCUUCCCAUGAUGGGUGAUGCUCAACUCCAUGUCAUGGGCGUGGGUGGCCAAUUCCUCGAAGGUCCGUGGUUUAAUGCCUUGAAGGAUGUAUUGCAAACCUCAUUGCAUGCCUUGGAUGCACAUCUCGAUUGAAGAGGUCUCCGAGAGCCUAUCUUUGCAGUCGAGGCUUAGAGUGCGCCAUCUGUUGAUGUAGUCAAUGACCGGCUCAUCUUUCCAUUGCUUCAUACUUGUGAGCUCCAACAUGCUUACAGUGCGGCGGGUGUUGUAGAAGCGGUUGAGGAAUUCCCGCUCCAAUUGCUCCCAGCUGUUGAUGGACUCAGGCUCUAGGUCCGUGUACCACUCAAAUGCGUUUCUUUUCAGCGAGCGCAUAAACUGCUUGGCGAAGUAGUCCCCCUCCGUCCCCGCGUUGUUGCAAGUUUUGACGAAAUGUGCAACGUGCUGCUUUGGGUUUCCUUUUCCAUCAAACUGCAUGAACUUUGGUGGUUGAUAUCCCAUCGGCAUCUUUAGGGCAUCAAUCUUCUUUGAAUAAGGCUUUGAGUACAACCCGGAGGUAUUUGAGCUCCCUUCGUACUAUGCCUUGACGGUGCUGGCAAUCAUCUCUUGCAACUGUUGGAUAGAAAGAGAUCCCAUGAGUGCCGCUUCUUGGUCUGGCUCCGGCUUCACAUCGAUUUUCUCCACCGUAGGCUCAUCUUCUGGGUUAGGGUUCUCGCUGUCCUGUGGCUCCAGUUGACUGAUGAGUGCAGCGAUUUGCAAGUCUUUUUCUUCCACAGUUCGGGUUAGCCUUGCGAUUGCUUCAUUCAUUUGAGCCAGUUGUUCUUCGAUGGAGGUAACGCCGAUGGUCAUGACUUGUGCAACCAAUAGACGUGACUUUCCUUUAGACAUCCAAGAUGCUGAAGAAGAACGUCAUUGGUUGUUUUGGGAUGUCAUCUUGUGUGCCUCAGCAACAUGCUUUGGUGCCCCCAGCGAGGUCAGGUUGAUGACAGACUCACACCUUUGAUGCUCCCUUUGCUCUUUUAGCGGCACCAACUUUGAAGUGGCAUGUUAAGGAGCGGUUGUGGUGCUAAUGGAUUGUCCAUUUGCGGCAGAAGUGCUUAGGAUCCUUCCCUCAGUGAUUGCGAGAACGGCUUGUCCCUUGCUUGAUGCCAUUGAUUUUGAGGUGUGUUUGGAUUCCUUAAACGGAGAAAGAUAUGAGAGGUAGAGAUUGUCCCACCGGGCGUGCCAAUUUGUGAACACGAAAAUUUCCUGAAACGAAAGAGACAAGAACAACGUGCACAAAAUAAUAUUUUGGUGUUAAUGGAUUUGUUGGGUUACGAUCUCUUUUAACUUGAUCCUCUGAUUCGAUCUCCGUAAGGUGUUGAUUUAUGGAUGUUUCGUUGAUCUAAGGGCCGUCGAGGCUUGAUCUUGGAUGAACUGUUGGAAGUUUCUUCAAGGGGCCGUGGGCUUGAUCUUUGAAGGUGGAUUUGAGCGGAUCUUCAAGGAGCCGUUGGGGCUUGAUCUUGAGGAUGAGUGUUUCUUCAAGGGCCGUUAAGGCUUGAUCUUGAAUAACGGUGAUGAACGGAUCUUCAAGGGCUUUUGGGCUUGAUCUUGAAGAACGGUUGGAUGUGUGGAUUUGUUGAUGUUGUUGAUCCAAGGGCCGUCGGGGCUUGAUCUUGGAAGAACGAUGAACGAAGAACGAAGAACACUUUCUUCAAAGGCCGUCGGGGCUUGAUCUUGAAUUGGUGAUUGUUGAUCCAAGGGCCGUCGGGGCUUGAUCUUGGAAGAACGGUGAACGAAGAAUGAAGAACGAAGAACACUUUCUUCAAGGGCCGUCGGGGCUUGAUCUUGAAUUGGUGAUUGUUAAUCAAAGGGCCGUCGGGGCUUGAUCUUGGAAGAACGAUGAACGAAGAACGAAGAAGGCUUUCUUGAUUCUUCGGGAUGAACGGAUGAUGAACAAUGAACACUUUCUUCAAGGGCCAUCGGGGCUUGAUCUUGAAUUGGUGGAAGUUCUUCAGGGCCUUUGGGGCUUGAUCUUGAAGGUGGAUGAUUGUUGAUCCAAGGGCCGUCGGGGCUUGAUCUUGGGAUGAACAGUUGUGUGGAUUUGUUGAACACUUUCUUCAAGGGCCGUCGAUGCUUGAUCUUGAAUUGGUGGAAGUUCGUCAAGGGCCGUUGGGGCUUGAUCUUGAAGAAGGAUUUGACGAAGAACGAAGAGAGCUUUCUUGAUCCUUCGGAAUUUGCUUGAAUUUGGGAGGUUGGAUGCUUGAAAGCUUUAGAGUUUCAAAGCUUCAAGGAUUUUGGAUGUGUGGGGAGUAUUCUCUUACAUUUUGGGAGUAGAGAAAUGUAUUUGUGAAUUGGUUUUUGAUACCUUGAUGUAGAAGCCUAUUUAUAGGCUUUGAGAAUGAAUCACCACCACAAAAUAUUUUUUUCUUUUCCAAGCACCAUUGCCUAAUUUCCCACUUAAUACAAUUUUAAACUUGAAGUGGUAAUUUUAUGGCCUAAUUUUCCACUUAAUAUCAUUUUAAACUUGAUAUGUGCAUGCUUUGUCAUUGCCCAAAAUGAGAAGAAAACCUUGUUUUGAUCUUCAAUGGAUUGAAAUGUGCUUUGCCUUGUCAUUGCCCAAAAUGAGAAGAAAAACUUGUGUAAUCCUCCAAGGGUAUUUCUUUUUAUUUUGUUGAGUCACACACCAUGUGUACAAUUUGUAUGACACGUGGCAUAUGCCAUAUAUGCCUUGACACGUCAAAAUUUUAAUGCGUUGGUGAACAUUUAUUUCACCGCAAUUUCGAUGUCUACAAUUUCAUUUCUUGUGAAUAAUGUUUAUCCUGUGUUCUGUCCAAUCGCGUAUUAAAAAAUGUGUGAAGUUUGGAUUAACCACACUCUUUUAGAAUUUCCUUUAUUUACCACUUUUUGAGAAUUUCCAAUAAGACUGGGUGAGUCUCCGCUGAGAAUUUCCUCAACUAACACCACACUACUUGAGGGAUAAUUUGUUAUAUCUUUGAAUAAAGAAUAAAACAGUUUCCUACUUUUGAAGGUACUAUUAACUUACACUAUAUUUGGAUGAAGGUCAAACUUUAUAAAUUGACAUACACCAAAUUCUUUGUUUGGAUUCAUAAACAUAUAAAUUUAGAAUUUCCGCGUGGAAAAAAAAAAUACUUAGAAUUUGAGACCUCCAAUUCUCAAAUUGAAAGUUUAAAAAUAAUAAAUUCCGUAUUCAAUUCAAUUGUUCUUUUAGGUUAACCAAAUAAGAAAAUUCACAAAUUCUAAAAUAUAAAAUCUCAUCAUUUCAAUUUCCGUCAUUUUAAAAUUCCUUAGUAAUAUUAAAUUUCUUCAUCCAAACAUAGUGUUAAGAAAUUUUUUAAAGAUACACUAUUUACACUCAUUUUUAUUUCUUACACAUUUAUUAACUUUGUCCAUUGAUUUCUUCAAUUCAUUUUGCCAGUUAUACAAAAAUUGAGAACAGUAUUUAUGAAUUAAAAAUACAUUUGUAGAUGUCACUACCAAAUUUUUAUUCCUAAUUCAAGAAAAUCUUAUCCAUAUAUGAUUGCCCUUGCCCACUUUAAAUGGGUGCCAUCACUUUACGAUAGAGCAAUCCUAACCGUCCACCUAGGUAAGCAUAACUGGCGAUGCAUGUCGCAAGGGGACCGCAUUGCACAAUAUAAUUAUACUAGUUGAUAAGACAAGUGAUGUCAAUCAAUAAAUUAUUUCAUUAAAACUUAGUUGUAUGUAUCAUAUGUUGUAAUGUAGGGUGUAUGAUAUGCUGACGCUGUAAAAAAAUGUAACCUUUUUAAUAUUACUCAUAAUAGUAAGACUUACCAGUAUUAGGAUGUUAUCAGUGGAAUGAGAAUCCUCUCCAGAUCUUUUUUGUGAGCUAUUAUUUGUAUUUAAUUUUAAAUAUAAAAAAUUAAAAUAAUUUAUGACGGCAGUGAUUCACAUGAUCUUCACAAAGAGAAUCCAAAUAAUCUUAAUUUAUAUCAGUGUGUCUAGAUAACAUGAUCGAGCCCCUUUACUUUUACCCUAUUUAGUAUUUUACAUUUGAACCUGUAAAUAUUCGAUUUUUCUUUGGUGCAACCGAGCACCAAAUAUAGAUUUUUUUUCACUUUUAUAUAAUGAUAAAUAAAGGGCAAUUGGCAGAUUUGAAUUCCAUUCGGAUUGGUCAAAAAUCAUUUUAAAUUGUUUUAUUUAAAAUUAAACACAUAUAGUACUUAAUAAAAAUUAGUCGUACAAUAUACGAUAAACAGAUAUAAUGUAAGGACCUUUAUGAUCUUCACAAAAAAGAUCCAAAGGUUGUGUAGCUGUUUCAAAAGGAUAAUACUCACUUUUGAUUAGUUCAAUGAAAUUUUAAACAUGUUUUAUUGUUUUAAAAAAUAAUAAACAUAUUUAUUAAUGUUUGUUUUACUUUAAAAAAUAAGCAGCACUUGACAACAUUUGAUUGUGCUAAAUAAAAAAUGAGUGACCACUUAGUACUACAGUCUUAUGAUAUUUUUCUUCAUUUGAAAGUGAGAGGUUUUAAGUUCGAAUCUCGUGGAUGACGAAUUUGAUAUCAAAUUAGAUUGCUCACUAUGUGGCUUAGCCGAACUCUCAUUUCCUUUAAUGUAAAAAUAUUGAUGUAUUCAAAAAAAUAAAAAGUGACUAUAGAGGACACUCAAUCUCAGCUGUAUGAUUAAAUCAGACGGUAAGAAAAAUUCUGCAAGCAUACUCGGUUACAUUAAUUGAAGAAAAAAUGGGUAAAUAUUGGGCACCAACGUUAUAAAUACCCUCCACCAUGCACCCAACUCCCUCACACCAUCACAACCCACGUUACAAAUCCUCCUCCUCAUCAUAACCAUUCUGUUUUCCGCAUAAUAUCCAAAAACCUAUCAUGUCUGAAGAGAAACACCACCGCGGUCUCUUCCACCACCACAAGGAUGAAGACAAACCCUCAGACUACCCUCAGUCUGGCUACUCUGAUGAAGGACGUCCCGGCGGCCUCGGUGGUGGUUACGGCGACACCAAUGAUUAUUCUGGUGAAGGACGUACCGGCGGCCUAGGUGGUGGCUAUGGCGACACCAAUGCUUAUUCUGGUGAAGGACGUCCCGGCGGCUAUGGCGGCUAUAACGAGACCACUGCUUACUCUGAGGAAAGAGUUGAAAGACCCGGCGGUGGCCGGUACAGUGAGACUACUGCGGCAUAUGGCAGCACCACCACUCAUGAAUCUGAACUUGAUUACAAGAAGGAGGAGAAGCACCACAAGCAUCUCGAGCACCUCGGCGAGGCCGGUGUAGCUGCUGCCGGCGCUUUUGCCUUGGUACGUAUUGUAUUUUAACCCACCUCUAUAUAUAUAUAUAUUAGAAUAAUGCUAAUAAGACCAAAUUUUGAAAACUAAAUGAUGUGGUUGUUGAUAAUGAACUUAUUACUCAAGUCUUGAUUAACAUGCUUAUUUUCUAAUAGUGACACAUUAUUUGGUUUAGAAAUUUGGUCUUCCUAACUUUAUCAUUCUCAAAAUUUUCAUGAUUUUGAUAGGGUAAUACGGGAGAUCAAAAUUUCUAAACCAAAUUUGCAAACCAAUAGAUGAUUGGAUUAUUAAUUAAGUAUCGAUUGUUUGUUUCUUAUUAACGACAUAUCAUUUGAUUUACAAUUUAGUUAAAAAAAAUUUAUUCUUUCUGUCAUAUCCUUUUGAAUAUUUGAUCACUUUACUCUUUAUCACUUUACCCUUGAUCACUUUACCCAUACUCUUGCAACCGAAUCACCGUCCUCCUCCUUAACCUUCAUUUUUUUGUCUUACAGUACUCCAAUCUAUCAACUCUGUCCAUUGCAACUUUAAUUGUGAAGAAAAUUAAAGUCCUAUCGUAAAAUUAAUUAGUGAUAUGGAGAGUUGCGCAAUUAUUGAUGGACUAGGUAGGUAAGAUACGGAAUCAAAGUCUACCAUUAACAAUGGACGGAAUUGAUGAACCAUAUAGGUAUGUAAGAUACGGAAUCAAAGUCCUCAUGUAAAUGGUACAGUUGCAAUCAGGAGAAGAAAUGAGUUAACUGAUACCUUCGUAAUAGUUCAUGUAGAGUUUUGAUAUUAUUAAGCCUUAACCACCUGAUCUUAUAUAUACGAGGACAAAUCUAAUCAAAUAUGUGUUAAUUUCAAGGUUUGUUUUACAUUGAUGUGAGAUCGAUGCUAGCAAGAUAUAUAACUUAUGUCAGUUUCUAUAUGAUGUGUGUAGCAUGAGAAGCACAAUGAAAAGAAAGACCCAGAGCAUGCCCACAGGCACAAGAUAGAAGAGGAGAUUGCUGCAGCAGCUGCAGUUGGUUCGGGUGGAUUUGCCUUCCAUGAGCAUCAUGAGAAGAAAGAGACAAAGGAAGAAGAGGAAGAGGCUUAUGGAAAGAAGAAGCACCACCACUUCUAGAUCUAUGUGGAUUGUGGAACAUCAUCUUUUGACUACAUAUGCAAUGUUGUGUUUUUACUAGUUAUCAUGUGGUGUGAUCAGUGAGAGUGUGAUGCUUAAUCUCAACAAUAUCGCUACAAUAGUUGAGUGGUUAAAUGUCCUUUUCAAUUAAUGGGUGCUAUCUGGUUUUCUUUUAGCAUGCCAUCUAUGUAUGUAUGUAUGUAUGUAUGUCAUUGUUAUUGUUCAUAAUAAUACUGUUUACUCGGUGUUUAUUUCCUAGUGGCCACAUCUCAUUUUAAAUGAUUUCUUCAUACCAUUAAUUUUUUAAAUGUAAAGACUCAGUAUCCAUAUAACUACGAAAAUUUUUGACAAAACAAAAACAAGAAAAAAGAAAAGGAAAAAAUGGCUUAGCAAGUUUGUAUCCUAUAAGACAAAUGGGUACGUGGAACGAUGGACAUCUCACAAUGGUUUUUGAAUCGUCGGAUCAUCAUGGUUGGACUAUAUAAUUAUCAUUGAUAUAAUAUAAAUUUUGAUUUUUUUUUAGGAAAUUAAUAUCUGAAAACAAUAUUGAUGUACUGCAUUUGUUUUGGACGAUAUUAUACUUUAAUCCAAAUUUUGAGAAAAAAAAAACAUAUCGAACUCAGGUGUACAAGAGUGGCUUUGCUACCCAUGUACAGGGCUAGUUCUGAGUUUUUGGGUGCCCAGUGCGAAAGCUCAAAAUGUGACAUUUUUUAAUACGAAAACAUAUAUUAAAAAAAAUAUUUAAUGAGGGCUGGAACCCAGUCGAAGCUGGAGGGCUAGGACCUCACGCCCAAAUUAUAUUACUUGAGAAAAUAUACAACUGAGGAGGGGACAUGGUACCUAAACCCCGACAAUCAAAAGUACAAUCAUAUACAACCACUCCUAGCAAAUCUCCUUCAAAUUUCAACCUUUAAGAAAUUGUCUUCUGGCAUUUUUUGAAGCAAAAUCAUCAAUUAUAUCAUCAUACUCCAAGUCUUCAAUCUCAUCAUUUUCAAUGCAUAAGAUUGCUAAUCCAUUUAGCCUAUCUUGAGUCAUAGUGGUCCGCAAGUAAGAUUUUAAUAAUUUCAAUUUUGAAAAACUUCUUUUUGCAGAUGCCAUGGUCACAAGUACAGUUAACAGUACACGAUAAGCAAUCAAGACAUUAGGACACAUGUCAGUUUCUUUUACAAAAUUUGCUAUUUCCAUGGAUGUCCAAGGGUUAUUAGAGAGAAAUGCUUCUUCAGGUAAUAUCAUUUGCAAAACCUGCAAUUCGGAAUAUAAGUCAACUCCAUCUACAUCCAUGGUAUUUCCAUGUUUCAAAUGUGCUUCAAGAUUCAUACAAUUUUCUUUUAGCUCUUGAUCAUCCAAUGAAAUUAACUUUGGUGCAUCAAACAAGAAGCCAAAAAUAGAUUCAAAGGAUUUUAACUGUUCAAACUUGUGUUUCAGUUGAGAAAGAGCAAUAUCCACUAUAACAAGAAAAUAAUAUUUCCUAAAUGAUUCUUUAGCAGAUUAUUGUUCCCUCUCAUUACCAUCAACUUCAUCAUGAUGUCUUUUUCUAGGUCUAUGACAUUUAGUUUGAAAAAACAGGGUCAAUUUCCAAAUCAAGUGCAAUUUCAUUAGCAUCACUCAUGGCGGAAGCAAAACCAGUUUCUCUGUAGUUUCCAAAAAAUGUAACAAAUGCUUCAAAUGCCUUUACAGCAACAUCAAGACGCAUGUCUUUAGAUUGUAAUUUUAUGCUCACCAUGUUAAUCUUCAACAAAAUGUCAUACUAAAUAACCAAACUUAAUACAAAAUCAAAACUUGAAAGUUCGCCUGAUGCUAAACAUCUUGCAUCCCUACUUAAUUGAGGAUUUUCAGUAAUUUCCACCAAUUAAACAAAGCAUUUCUAACCUGGGCUACUUGAGACUUAAUUGCUUUAACAUUUUCAAUGUGACUUUCCCAUCGAGUAGUUGACAAUGACUUCAAAGUUAAACCAUCAAUAUGUUCAACCAAAAUAUUCCAACGCUUUGUAGAGUUGGAAAACACCAUAUAUAUGCAUUGACAUGCUCUAAAAAAAGAUUUUGCUUUAAGACAUGAACUUGCCAUAUCACAAACUAUUAAAUUAAGCUAAUGAAAACCACAUGGCAUGUAAAAGGCUAUGGGAUUUAUGUCUAACAAUCUUUUCUGGACAACUUGGUGUUUCCCUCUCAUGUUAGAUCCAUUAUCAUAACCCUGUCCCCUCAUAUCAUCAAUAUCAAGGUCUAAAAUAUCGAUAUUAUCCCGAUAUUUCUUUCGAAAUUUCUGUGUUUUUGGAUUACCGAUAUUUCCGAUAUCAUCGAUAUUUUAGACCUUGAUAGGAACUCUAUGUGAUACUAAGUCACUCAUGUAUCUUACCAUGCAAUGUAUAAAGUGUAAAAUAUUGUAUUAAUUCAUUAUAUAUAAAUGAUUAUGGUGUGUUUAACUUCUUUCAUUAAUUACUACAUAUUUUCUACACUCAAAAUGUUUGUCAGCUCACUAUAUAAUCAACUUAAAUAAGUUAAAUCCAUCAUGAAAUGCAUUUCGUUCCAAUUUUUUGUAAUAAACUAGUAGAUAAUUGACUAAAUAAACAUCCUGCAAAGUUUCAAUAAAAAUUUCCAAGUUUUUCUUAUAAUUUCCGUGGUUUUUAUUCAAUUUUUAUCGAUAUCGAUAAUAUCCCGAUAUUUCCAUCAAAAUUUCCGUAUUUUUGGACUAUCAAUAUUUUCGAUAUCAUUGAUAUUUUAGACCUUGAUCAAUAUCAAGAUCAAGAGAUUUUAGGACAUCUUGCAGCUCGUUAAAAAGCCCUUGUCCUAAUGUAUCUUUCACACUUAAAAACUCCAUGAAAUACUCCCUUAUAUUUAUUGACCUACUUGACAAGUCAACACAUCACAAAAUUAAAGUCAUCUGUUCCACAUGACUUGCAUUAGGAGUACAAUCAAGAAUGACAAAAAAAAAUUUGGCUUCUUUUACUUUUUUAAUGAUUGCGGUUUUGACUUUUGAAGCUAAAGUAGCUAUCAACUCAUUUUUGUUGGAAAUGUGCCCUAAAACCAAUCAUAUGAUGAUACUUUACGAACGUUUCACAUGUUAAACUAAUAUAGUUUAAUAUAAAGGGCAAAAAUUAUUGUUUGUAGCCGUCUCAUAUAAAUGUUAUACGCUUAAACGAUAAGUCCAAGGAAUAUGUAAUUGGGAGAAUGCGAUCUAAAGAAGUUAGAUUCAUGAGACCAUUCUCUUCCGUAUACAUAUCCUAAACGUUACUGAUCAUAGGAUUGUCAAUUGGGCAUUGAUAGUCUGUUAAGAUCAGUACGUGUUAUGUCUUCUCUUAAGGAGAGUGACUGGUCUCGAGUCAUUGGUGUGACUGACACCAAGACAAGCAUGUAGGUGCUCAAUAGAGAAUGAGUCCACUGAACACGAUCAACAAGGAGUUCUCAUACUCAUGUCACAUGAGAACUCGUGGUUGGAAUAAUGCAAAGUAGUCAUUUGACCUGAGGCAUCAUAGUUGUCUUGUGGUUAGGUCCUUGAUCUUUGACUAUGUCAAAGUCACUCCGUCAGAGGGUGUCCAUUGCAUAGUUGGGGUUAAGCCACUUAGCCAUGGAGGCAAGUGAAUGCACAAUAAGGGAUCUCUAACCUUCAAACUAUUUGAGGGAGAAUACUCUAUGAUAUGAUUAAGAAUCUCUGGCCAGAGUAUGAAUGAUAUUUAAGAAGUCGUUCCAAAUCACAUUCAAGGUAAUCAUAUAAGUAAGAGAAUCACAUUGGAUAGUAGACAUGAAUAAACUAUCAAACCAAACAAUGUGGUCAAGAGUAUUGUAUUAGAGUAAGACCGUAUUGCAUUGUAAUCCUAAACUAAAUAGGUUCUCCACCUCUUCUGAUCAGCUUGGGUAACCAUGACAUACUGCUAGGUGUUACUCAUGAUUUGUGGAAGCCCUAAACGUGUAUAAUCACUAAAGGGAGAAUUGAAAGUAAGUUUCAAUUUACAAUCGAUUUGAAAGAGUUCUAAUCGCUCACUGCCUCGCUAAAAGGAACCUAAUGGAUCGUACACCGUGUAAGGUAGAGAUUGAAAAAACAACGGAGAUAAGUAAGGACAAUUAAAUGGUUUAAUUGUUUAUGACAAGAAUUAAUUAAUAUGUUAAUUAAUCAAACGAAUAAGUUCGGGUUAAACCUUGAGUUAGUUUUGGGCAUUAAAGCCCAAAUUGGGCUUCGAAUCUUCAAACCCAUUAGCUUAAGUUGUAUGACAACUUAACAAACAAAAUUCAAGAAGCCCAAAACAGCCCAAAGGCUUGGGAAAACCAGCCAUAUAGAGAGGGGUAGUGAACUUGGCUUAAUUGCAAGUUUGCCAUUCCAUUGUGAGGUGGUAUAAAGGCAACUUUAUAGCCAUUUCAUCCUUAGGGUUUCUUUUGGAGAAAAGAUGAGAACACAAGCUCCCUUUUCUCUCUAAGAGGCUGGCCACCCUAGAGGAUUUUAGCUAGCAAUCUUACUUCCUCUAGGUCACUCAUCUCUUCUUCAAGUCAUUCCUUGGUGUGGAGACUUAGAGGUUCCUUUCAACCAUCUUCAUCCAAGAAAUCCAUGGAGCUAAGAAGCAAGGAAUGAAGGCCCUCGCCUUGGGUGAUUAGCCUUUGCUUAUGCAAAGAGGAAUCAACAAAGGUAUAAAAUUUCUCAACUCACUUUGUUCUUGAGUUGAGUCUUGGUUCACAUAACUACUAGGCUUUGAAUUUCAUGGGUAAUGUUUUGUUUUGAGUGCAUACAAGCAUGAUUCCGCCUUUAAUUGUUAAUUGCAUGCCAUAGAUGUUGCUCAAAUGAACAUGUUUCUCACAAAAUUUCCUUCAAUUUUGAAUUUUAUGGCUCAAAUAGUGAUGAUGAAUCUCUUUAUUCUCAAUAAGUCGAAAAUGCUAUUGCAUUAUUGGAUCAAACUCCGCAUUCAUUUCAAGUAAACCUAAGAAGUUGCCAUUAGAGUCUUCAUAAAGUCUUUCAUUUGUUCCACGAAAUGCUAAAUUACGUAUGGCAAGACAUUUCAUAACAUCAAUAAUUCUAAGCAUCACUUGUUUCCAAUGAUUUGGCUCUUUCUUGAUUUGCAUUUGAAAUUCUUUGUCAAUUGUCUGAUUUUUUGUCAAUCUACUUUUCAACUCAACCCAAGUUCUCGAAUUAAUGAGAUGCUCUUUACUCUUUUCAUAUUGGUCAAGCUUCUUACCAAGAUGUCUCCAAUCACUAGUUCCAUCUUUUGCUAACUCACUUUUUGAGGCAAUUAUUUUAAACAAUUUACAACAAAAGCAAAAGACUUUAUCCAACUCUUUUGAGUACACGAGCCAUUUCCUAUCGUAAAUUUUACCCGUUCGUAAUUUUCGAUCAUAGUAGUGUGAGGAAAAUUUUCUAGAGAAUUUGUCCUUAGGAUAAGUGAAUUAGUUUCUCAAAUUGGUCCUUUUUCUACAAGUAAGUCUCUCAUUUUUGCAUUAAGACCAUCCCAAACUAUUGGAUCAUAAAUGUCUAAAUGAAAAAUAGGUUCAAGAGAUUCAAUAUUUUCUUCUACACCAAAAUGAUCAUCAUCAACAUUUAAAUCCACAUCACCACCAUUUUCAUGAUCUUGAGACUCAUCACCAACAUUUUCCUCUAAAUCACCACAAUUUUCUUGGUCAUGAGACUCGUCAUUAACAUCUUUCUCCACAUAACCACAAAUUUCAUCAUCAUGAGACUCCCCAACAAUAUUUUGUGACUCUUCACCAACAUCAUUUUCUCUCAAAUUUUCAACCGACUCAUUCUUUAUAGAAUUUUUUUUAUUAAGAGAUCCUCUUAAACUUUAGGCAAUUUCGUUAUCCUUUGCCUUUUUUUUCCUUUUCAUAUUACUAGAGAGUUAUUUUCUAAAAGACAUGGCUUUGAUAAUUUGUUUGCAAAAAUUACCUACAUAUGAUAUAACAAAAAUUUCCUAUUAAAAUUAUCAUCAACAAUUCAAAAAUUACCUACACAUGAUAAUCAAGAAUUCAAUUCAUCAACAACAACAAUUCUAUACAUCAAUUAUCAUAUAAUUCUGUCACUUGCAAAAUUUAUAUUAAAUUAUGAAUUAAUAAUUCAAAUUAAAAAAUUAGUUUACCUCAAAACUCAAAAGGGUUGUUGAAUGCAAGGACUUGUGGGCCUGUGGCUGUCGGGUUUGGAAGCUGUAGCCUGCAGCAGCGCAACAAAUUAUCAGACGGUAAGGGCUAGGGCAGUGGGGUAACAAUGGGGUGGGGAAUCGGGAAAAAGGGGAACUUAGGGUUAAUUGGGGGGGGGGGGGGCGGGGACGAGUGGUCCCCUUGUGUUGUUAUUUUUUAUUUUUUUAAUGGCCAAAACCUGGGCUGGUCUUUUUUUUUUAAUUUUUUUAUUAUUUAUAAAUGCCCAAAACCUGGGCCGUUCCCUUCAUUUUCAAACUUGGGCCUCUUGCCCUCUAGUUCUUAUUUUGGGCUCUGGACAAAUUUUUUUUAUACCUAAUUAUUUGGACUUUUUUUUUGGUGCCCCUUUCAAUUUUGGGCCUUGGAAUGGCCCUGGUUGCACUGGGCCUGGGCCGGGCCUGCCCAUGUAUAUGUUAUCUUGUGAUUUGACAAGUCAUAUGUAUAUCAUAUCAAUUUUAUCUCAAUUGUGGUGAUGGUACAUAAUACUUACUACAUCGUAUGGCAACAAAUAAAUAUGGGCAUAAAGAUAAAUAGAAUGGUAUCAGUAAAUUAAGGUCUUCACAUUACGAUUAUAUUUAUCUCUAUUUUUAGUGGAAAGUUUUAAGGAUAAUUUUUUUUCUGCCUCCUACAUGGGUCUCGAUUCUCCUCUACGGUAAAAAUCCGUAUGUUUUAAAUAUUGAAAAGUUAAUUUAGCCCAAAUCCUUGCCUAUUUUAGGGAAAAUAAAAAAAAUUCAUUUUUAACCCUUUGAUUACUUAUAUCACCUAGUAUAACCUUUUUUUUUGUGUGAUACAAACAAAUAUUUUUGUUUGGGCCCAAAAUAUUAUUUUAGGCUGAGCUUAGGUCAUUCUCGGCCUAGUGGCAUUCAUUUAGAAUUUUGUUAUGGGCCGUCCAGUUAAGGUCAGCCGAAUCCUAUUAUGAAAAGGUUUGGUUUGGAUAAGGGUGAGUUGGUCGAUACUAGUGCAACAAGGAUUCUGAAGACUAAGGACAUUGAGAAUUAAAGGGUGAAUUUGGUUUGUUAAGAAGCUUGGUUCAAAGUCCUACAGGAAUUAGGAUUGGUUGAAACCUGAUCGGAUUGGGUUGAGGAGUUCUAAUCCUAGUCCAUUUCUAGUUCGGCUAUGAGGGGAUUCAUUAUUAUAAAUAGAGAAGGGAGUGCAUCAUUCAAAGCCCCUCCAAUUCAACACACAAAUUGCCUUGUGCAAAGCUUCUCAACAACCUUUGAGAUUUUAUCCACUUCCUCUUUCUUUUGCCAACACAUCUUCAGUUUGGAUAAAUAGCACUGUGAAGGCAACCGUCGACAUCUUCAGUUUGGAUAGACUGCACUAGAGCCGUAAAAUUAGCCGACCAAGGAGCACCUUUAGUUUGGAUGGACAACACUGCUUUGAGGCCGACUGGCUAUUUAUUCAAGUCUCGGCUGAGAAGGAUUUUCAAAUCCUUGUUGGUAGAGGUCAUCUCGUCAGCCUUCUCGGCAAAGUGAGGUGUUACAGGUUUCUGGGCUCGGCACAUUGAACGUUGAGUUUUGUUUUAUGAUUAGAUACUCACAAGUAAGUUUUAGAGUUUGGCAUUCCGAUGGCCGAAUCACAUUUACAAUCAAGAUAUAUAUUUCUUUCGAGUAUUUGUGUCUGUAUAGUUUGGUACCAGUUCGGCAUGCUUAUACUCUCACGAAUAUAAUCACUAUGAUCGAACCUGAUGCCGAUGAUUUGUGAACUUCAUAGAACUAGCAACCUUGUCUUCAGGCAUUAUAAUCCAAAGGCCGAGACAUGUUCCUUCAUCGAUCGCAGUCGUAAGAUCGAGAAGUCAGCAGCGCGCCCAACGAGACAUCAACACAUUCUAUUCCUCGACCGAGUUGGCACGCCCUGCACAUAACUGAAGGACGUAGUUAGCUUAUUAGUUACUCAGCCUAUGCGUCACGUAGGCUUCAUAGUUUUUAGUGUCAACAUUUUGGCAUGCCCAGUGGAACCCAGUGUUAAAGCUACGAAGUUCAUGACCAUUGAGACACGGUCAGUAAAAAAGAAACCAGUAAUGGGAAAGUUGACAACUAAUCUUCCAGUCUAAAACUCAUGACAAGAUGGGUUGUUAUAGACACAGAUUCAUGCUGCUGCCAUGACACCUGAAGCCACAAGUGCGACAUGCCGAGAAAAGGAAGUGAAUCUUGGCAAUCAGCCUUGUGGUGCAGAAAUCCCCACCAAAACGACAAAAGGCAUUUUUGUUGAAGGAAUAGUGGAUGAUUAUGACGAGGACGGUGGUAAGGCCUCUGAUCCACCAACCAGGUCGUUUUUUCGACGACGACUUGAAGAGUAAUCUUGACAACUUGAGCAGAUGUUCAGCCGAGAGAUAAAAAAACAUAUUUAAAGAAAUGCGUGAUAAUAUCGCUGUACAUAAUUUAUUGCUCGAAGUUCUGGUUAGUAAAGUCCAUGACAUUGGACCCACCAAUCGAUCCAGGCAUCAUUUUUUCAGGAAUAACCCACUACCAAUAGUACAGGUCGAGACAUAAUCCACUUGGCUCAAAAUGAUUAACUUACAGAAAAGUGGUGGGUUAAUCAGCAGAUCAAACGGAUUCGACCAGAGAGCGGAAACGACAUAUGUUGAUAUGGUUGAAGUUUAGAGAAUGAUUGAUUCGGCCUUGAAAAAUGGGCCAAAGUUUCCAAAAUUCAUUCACCCAU